ACUGGGCCUGCGGUGCCGAUGAGAAAAUAGAUGCAGACACGGGUUGCCACUGGACUGCAUUCAAGAGAUGGGCAGUAGCGAACCCCUUCCCAUCGCAGAUGGUGUCAGGAGGAGGAAGAAGAAGCGGAGGGCCCGGGCCACUGACUCCUUGCCAGGAAAAUUUGAAGAUAUGUACAAGCUGACCUCUGAAUUGCUUGGAGAGGGAGCCUAUGCCAAAGUUCAAGGUGCCGUGAGCCUACAGAAUGGCAAAGAGUAUGCCGUCAAAAUCAUCGAGAAACAAGCAGGGCACAGUCGGAGUAGGGUGUUUCGAGAGGUGGAGACACUGUAUCAGUGUCAGGGAAACAAGAACAUUUUGGAGCUGAUUGAGUUCUUUGAAGAUGACACAAGGUUUUACUUGGUCUUUGAGAAAUUGCAAGGAGGUUCCAUCUUAGCCCACAUCCAGAAGCAAAAGCACUUCAAUGAGCGAGAAGCCAGCCGAGUGGUGCGGGACGUUGCUGCUGCCCUUGACUUCCUGCAUACCAAAGGCAUUGCUCAUCGUGAUCUGAAACCAGAAAAUAUAUUGUGUGAAUCUCCAGAAAAG
This 580-nucleotide small RNA is filed under the name Pan troglodytes (chimpanzee). RNAcentral's name for it is "processed transcript". The record is from RNAcentral. Lineage: Eukaryota; Metazoa; Chordata; Mammalia; Primates; Hominidae.